CGUCUCUCUCAUUCAUUGUUUUGUUUCAUUUUCUCGCUUCGGGCUACUUUCUCUCUCUAGUUCUCUGUUUCUUUUCGAAGAGGAGAAGUGAGGUCAAUCGUUUCGUCGCCUUUCUUUCUGGAUCUCGUCUUCAGUUAGAUCAGUUUUACAUUUGGGAUUGGGGUUUAAUUUUUUUAUUUGUUUAGGUGUUUGAUGAUCUAGGGUUGGGUUGGGUGUGCUUAAAAUCGUGAAUAGGUGACAAAAGGAAGGGGUAAAAAAAGGGAUUGAUGGUACUCGUUUUAGGGCAAAAUGCAAGGGUAUCAUGCGUAUUCGUCUGCAUGGAUGGCGAGCUGGUGAAGGGGAAGACCGCCAGAGGAAACGGCACAUGUGGACUGUCCCUCCACGUGGCUCCCCGAUUUUAGAUGCACUUGCUCAUGGUGCUGCCUCUCCUCCUUUGUCUUCUUCUCCCAAUUCAACUACUUUCUUUUCUCAGGAUGGACGCAAAGUCGGUGUUGGUGAUUGUGCACUUUUCAAACCUCCCCGGGAUUCUCCUCCCUUCAUUGGAAUAAUUCGUUCAGUGACUGCCAUUGAAGAGAAUAAGUUGACAUUAAGUGUAACUUGGCUUUAUCGACCUGCUGAAGUAAAACUUGGCAAAGGCCCAUUGGAGGCUGCGCCAAACGAAAUUUUCUAUUCCUUCCAUAAGGAUGAGAUUCCUGCUGCUUCGUUACUGCAUCCGUGUAAAGUCGCAUUUCUUCCAAAAGGUGUUGAACUUCCAUCAGGAAUUGGCUCUUUUGUUUGCCGGAAAGUAUAUGAUAUUACCAAACAGUGUUUAUGGUGGCUAACUGAUAAAGACUUUAUGACUGACCGACAGGAAGAAAUAGAUCAGCUAUUGCACAAGACUCGUGUAGAAAUGCAUGCAACAGUGCCACCAGGUGGUCGUUCCCCAAAGCCUAUGAAUGGUCCAACUUCAACUUCACAAUUAAAGCCUGGUUCUGAUGGUGUGCAGAAUAGUGCUUCCUCUCAUCCACCACAAGUUAAAGGGAAGAAAAGGGAGAGGGGAGAUCAGGGCUCUGAGCCUGUUAAACGGGAACGUUCUUCAAGAAUGGAGGAUGGGGAUUCUGGUCACAAUAGAUCAGAUUGUCUAAAAUCUGAGAUUGCCAAAUUUACUGAUAAAGGAGGACUUGUAGACUAUGAUGGCGUAGAGAAAUUGGUGCAGCUCAUGAUGCCUGAGAAAAAAAUAGAUUUGGUUUGCCGAUCAGUGCUUGCUGGUGUGGUGGCUGCGACAGACAAAUUGGAUUGCCUUAAUUGGUUUGUGCAGCUUAAGGGUUUACCUGUUUAUGAUGAAUGGCUUCAAGAGGUCCACAAAGGAAAGAUUGGUGAUGGUAACAGGCCCAAAGACAGUGAUAGAUCAAUUGAGGAAUUUCUCUUAAUUUUACUUCGUGCACUUGAUAAACUGCCUAUAAAUCUUCAUGCACUACAAAUGUGUAACAUUGGCAAGUCUGUUAAUCAUUUGCGUACACACAAGAAUUUGGAAAUUCAGAAGAAAGCAAGGAGUUUAGUUGACACCUGGAAGAAACGUGUUGAGGCUGAAAUGGAUGCAAAACCAAAUCAGGGUGUCUCCUGGCCAGCUAGACCCAGGCUUCCAGAAGUUACUCCUGGUGGGAACAGACAAUCUGGUGGAUCCUCUGAGGUUGCUGUAAAGAGCUUGGUGAUGCAGCCUACUGCUUCCAAAACUGCUUCAGUCAAGCUUGUACCGGGGGAGACCACUCCAAAGUCAGCAUUUGCAUCACCGGUGUUUGUGAAAUCAGUACCAUCACCUACAUCAGUGGGCACAAACCUAAAAGAUGGACAAUCUCGUAAUUAUGCUGUUGGUGGUACAAUUGAACUUCCUUCAAAUCUGGCAAAGGAUGAGAAAAGCAGUGGUGCUGGUCAAUCCCACAACAAUAGUCAAAUUUGUUCCAUUGACCAUUCGAAAACUGGGGGAUUCUCGGGGAAGGAGGAUAUUAGGGGCUUUACUGCUGUUUCAGUGACUGCGAAUAAGGCCUCAGCUGGUUCUUUGCGGUCUCGAAAAUCUGUUAAUGGUUUCCAGGGUUCAAAUUUUUCAGGGGCUCAAAGAGAAACUGGGUCAAACAGAACUUCCCAGCACAGGAAUCAAACUUCAGAAAGACCAUCACAAUCGAGUUCAACAAGUGAAAAAGCAAUUGAUGUACCUGUUGUUGAGGGGAGUAACCACAAGCUGAUAGUUAAGAUCCCUAAUCGAGGUCGCAGUCCAGCUCAAAGUGGCAGUGCAGGAUCUGUUGAAGACCCUCCAGCCAUAAACAGCAGGGUAUCUUCUCCUGUGCUUUCAGAGAAGCAGGAUCAAUUUGAUCAUAGCCUCAAGGAAAAGAAUGAUGCACUUGUUGGAGCUGGUGAGGGAGAUGGGACACCUUCUAUUGCUCCUGAUGAUGAAGGCUGUCAGAUUGGUGAUGAUGCAAAGGCAUUUACUGAAAUAUUGAAAGAUUCUUCUAUACCAUCAGGAAAAGAACAUAAAAAUACAAAGUGGCAACAAAUUCCUUUCAGUGCUUUGGUUAAGUAUUCUGAAGUUGCUGCAUCUACCCCAGUUGGGGAUGAUAUUGGAAUGAAUUUGCUUGCAAGUGUGGCUGCUGGAGAGAUGUACAAAUCUGAUAUAAUUUCACCGCCUAGUUCUCCACAAAGAAACACUCCUGUACAUGAGCAACUCUGUGAUGACAAUGAUUCAAGAGUACAGUCAUCUCCGGGAGCUGAUCUUUCACAAGAACAUAGUCAGUCUAUUGAUGGUGCUGACGAUGAACAUGAUAAGCAGGUUGAUCGUACUUUGCCGGCCAAGAAUGCAAAUGCUAAUGAGGAGAAAUCUGCAAGAGAUCCAACUGGACAUAUAAAUAUUUCUCCAAUGGAUUUGCCAGAGACUGGAAAUUCUUUUCCAGAGAACCAUGAGAAUUUGAAACAGGAAAUAAAGGGGCAGAUCUCAGACGCAGCAGCCAAAGAUCUUGCGGGAAAGGCAGGUAGUAGAGUGGAAGUAGAUGGAAUUCCAGGUGCUAAACAAAAGAUGAGUAGCUCUUUUUUAACUGUGGAUACGAUCUCUGAACCUGGUGUAAAAGUUGAGAAUGAAGCCCUUGAAGGAUCAUCAUCAUAUCAAGCUUCAGAAAUUGAUGGUGAGAAUAAGAAAGAUGUGAAUGAUGGAUUUAAUAGCAUACAGACAGAACAAAAACUUUCUCCUGUGGCAAAACACUUUGACUUUGCGAAAGAAAUGGAUGUGAAAGUGCUGCUUACGUCUAGUGGUAAAGAUAUAGCUUCUGAAAAUGUGGAUGAAGUCAAAGCUGAAAAUGUUGUUGAAGUUGAUGUGACUAAUCUAAAUGAUAGUGAAAAGCUGAAAACUGAAUGGAGAAGUAAAGCUCCCAUGACUUGCAAGGAUGAGAAUGAACUGAAUUUGGGCUUAGCCGACUCUGUUAACAAGUGUGAGCAUGUUGAGGAAUCUGUUGAACGCAAUGAGGUUAAAGAGCGUCAUUGUACUGGUCCAGCUCCUCCAGAGGCAUCCCCUGACUUGCAAGGGCAAGAAACAGGACAGCAUGUGAAGCUGGGGGAACCUAAGUUGGCUGGGAGUGAGGGAGAUGAAGCAGAGGUGUCUUCAUCAACCACUGCUGAUACAUCUUUCUCUGCUGCUGGUGUGACUGACAAAGAAGCAAAAGUUGAAUUUGAUCUAAAUGAAGGUUUUAAUGGGGAUGAUGGAAAAGAUGGGGCCCCAGAAUGUUCAGGUGCUGUGCAACAGUUGAUUAGCCCAUUGCCUUUCCCGAUUUCUUCUGUCUCUAGUAGCCUUUCGACAUCAAUUACAGUAGCUGCUGCUGCAAAAGGGCCUUUUGUUCCACCGGAAGAUCUUCUGAGGAGUAAAGGGGCACGUGGUUGGAAGGGGUCUGCGGCAACAAGUGCAUUUCGUCCAGCUGAACCUAGAAAGGUUCUAGAGAUGCCGUUUGGUGCAACUAACAUACCUCUUUCUGAUGCCACUCCUGGAAAACACAGUCGCCCUCCAUUGGAUAUUGACUUGAAUGUACCAGAUGAGAGAAUAUUUGAGGAUUUGGCUUCUCGGGGCUCUGCUCAGGAUACAUUUUCUGUAUCUGACCUUACAAAUAAUCGUGAUGUGUCACAUGAACAGAUGGGUUCUACACCUGCUCGUUGCUCUGGUGGACUUGACCUUGAUUUGAAUAGAGCUGAGGAGCUUACUGAUAAUUUCUCAACAAGUAACGGUCAUAAAGCAGAUUUUCCUGUUCUUCCUGUCACAUCAUCAUCAGGUGGUCUUUUCAAUGGUGAAGUGAGUGUUCGCAGGGACUUUGAUUUGAAUGAUGGACCUGUUGUUGAUGAGAUGAGUAUGGAACCAGCAUUGUUUAACCAGAACACCAGAAGCAUACCACCCCUGUUUAACCAGAACACAAGAAGCAUACCACCCCAGCCACCGGUUUCUGGCCUUCGGGUGAAUUCUGCAGAUUCAGGAAACCUUGCAUCACGGUAUCCCAGAGGGAACCCUUAUUCAACCAUCACAGUUCCAUCAUUGCCUGAUAGAGAGCAGCAGCCUUUUCAAAUUGUUGCACCAGGGGCACCCCAAAGGAUGUUGGCCCCCCCUUCUGGUGGCAACCUGUUUGGUCCUGAUAUUUACAGGGGGCCAGUAUUGUCAUCUUCUCCUGCAGUUCCCUUUCCAUCUACUCACUUCCAGUAUCCUGUCUUUCCCUUUGGAAGCACCUUUCCUCUUCCAUCAGCCACUUUCUCUGGUGGUUCAACAACAUAUGUGGAUUCAUCAUCUGGUGGGAGGCUAUGCUUCCCUGCAAUCAAUUCACAAAUAUUAGGACCAACAACUGCAAUCCCAUCUCAUUACCAAAGGCCUUAUGUAGUUAGCCUCCCUGAUGGUAGCAACAGUUCUAAUACUGACAGUGGCUGGAAAUGGGGAAGACAGGCUCUAGACUUAAAUGCAGGGCCUGGAGUCCCAGAUAUAGAAGGUAGAGAUGAGACAUCACCUCUUGUGCCAAGGCAACUAUCUGUUGCUAGUUCACAGGCCAUGGCAGAAGACCAAGCAAGAAGCGUUCUGAAGAGGAAGGAACCUGAAGGAGGAUGGGAUGGCUACAAGCGACCUUCAUGGCAAUAGGAAUGCAUAUUUCAUCAUUUGCUGACCCAUGAAAUCUUUUCUUCAAGGAUGGGCAGUGGCUAACCCCCAGAGGUUGACUAACUUUUGCUCUUGGAGGUUGGGUGGUAAGUGAGUUAUUUGAUGUUGUCCAUAGUCUCCGACCCCCACCCUUCUGCUGUAUCAACUUUGUCGUAAAGAUCUGUUUGGGUCUACAAGCUGUUUGUUCGUUGAAUUUGUUCUGGGUGGUGCAGAUCAGCAUCCUUCUUGUAGAUAUUUUAACUGUUGGAAAGCAUGCACUGUGCUGCCUAGAUAUUCAAAUUUGGUGCCCAAGAGGUGUUUAUGCAUCCAGAAAAUACUGCUGGACCCAGAGUCACCCUCCUUUUCCAAUCCUUAUUAUGGAGGCAUGACCAGGAUCACAGAGAGGGGAAUCAAUGGCAGAGAUUGAAAUUGAAUGAUGAAACAAAUGAACGGAUGUCCCUUUUCUGUUUUUCUGCCACAUUUUGCUUGAUGGGCAGGAUUCUAUGUUUAAGGCCACCAUAAUUUGCUUGGUUCACAAUGGAUACAUUUUGGCACCAAGGACAUCACAAAUUAUACAUCUCUUUGUCAGCAAAUAUUUUUUGCGAUGGUGAAUAUUUGUGGAUGGUCUUGAUCCUGUUGAAAUAUGGAUACAUAUGUUCACUGCAUGAUUAUCAUAGCAAAUGCCUUUUCACUCUAA
Molecule: RNA transcript, 5819 nt
Organism: Mangifera indica (mango)
Lineage: Eukaryota; Viridiplantae; Streptophyta; Magnoliopsida; Sapindales; Anacardiaceae
Exons: 5
Source: RefSeq, a predicted model, not a curated record